Molecule: ribosomal RNA, 253 nt
Filed under: uncultured bacterium
Lineage: Bacteria
Description: partial 16S ribosomal RNA
Rfam family: Bacterial small subunit ribosomal RNA
Source: RNAcentral
UACGUAGGCAGCAAGCGUUGUUCGGAGUUACUGGGCGUAAAGGGUGCGUAGGCGGGUCUUUAAGUCAGGGGUGAAAUCCUGGAGCUCAACUCCAGAACUGCCUUUGAUACUGAAAAUCUUGAGUCCGGGAGAGGUGAGUGGAACUGCGAGUGUAGAGGUGAAAUUCGUAGAUAUUCGCAAGAACACCAGUGGCGAAGGCGGCUCACUGGCCCGGUACUGACGCUGAGGCACGAAAGCGUGGGGAGCAAACAGG